RNAcentral lists this ribosomal RNA (254 nucleotides) under uncultured bacterium. Its description in RNAcentral is "partial 16S ribosomal RNA". It matches the Rfam family "Bacterial small subunit ribosomal RNA", at positions 524 to 776 of the family's 1533-position model. The record is from RNAcentral.
UACGUAGGGGGCAAGCGUUGUUCGGAAUGACUGGGCGUAAAGGGUGCGUAGGCGGUGUAGCAAGUUAGAAGUGAAAUACCUAGAGCUUAACUCAGGUGCUGCUUCUAAAACUGCUAUACUUGAGUGCAGUAGAGGAAAGUGGAAUUCCUAGUGUAGCGGUGGAAUGCGUAGAUAUUAGGAGGAACAUCAGUGGCGAAGGCGACUUUCUGGCCUGUAACUGACACUGAGGCUCGAAAGCGUGGGGAGCAAACAGG